RNAcentral lists this ribosomal RNA (131 nucleotides) under Penstemon hirsutus. Its description in RNAcentral is "partial 5.8S ribosomal RNA". It matches the Rfam family "5.8S ribosomal RNA", at positions 30 to 154 of the family's 154-position model. From Rfam's summary of the family: 5.8S ribosomal RNA (5.8S rRNA) is a component of the large subunit of the eukaryotic ribosome. It is transcribed by RNA polymerase I as part of the 45S precursor that also contains 18S and 28S rRNA. Lineage: Eukaryota; Viridiplantae; Streptophyta; Magnoliopsida; Lamiales; Plantaginaceae. The record is from RNAcentral.
GCAUCGAUGAAGAACGUAUUCGAAAUGCGAUACUUGGUGUGAAUUGCACAAUCCCCGUGAACCAUCGAGUCUUUGAACGCAAGUUGCGCCCGAAGCCAUUAGGCCGAGGGCACGUCUUGCCUGGGCGUCAC